Molecule: non-coding RNA, 45 nt
Filed under: Echinostoma caproni
Lineage: Eukaryota; Metazoa; Platyhelminthes; Trematoda; Plagiorchiida; Echinostomatidae
Source: RNAcentral
CCACUGCUGACGAGUCCUAAACAGGACGAAACAGCCGUUCAGUUC